RNAcentral lists this transfer RNA (85 nucleotides) under Thiothrix nivea DSM 5205. RNAcentral's name for it is "tRNA-Leu". It matches the Rfam family "tRNA". From Rfam's summary of the family: Transfer RNA (tRNA) molecules are approximately 80 nucleotides in length. Their secondary structure includes four short double-helical elements and three loops (D, anti-codon, and T loops). The record is from RNAcentral. RNAcentral also lists the same sequence under 1 other name. Lineage: Bacteria; Pseudomonadati; Pseudomonadota; Gammaproteobacteria; Thiotrichales; Thiotrichaceae.
GCGAGAGUGGCGGAAUUGGUAGACGCGCUGGAUUUAGGUUCCAGUGCCGUAAGGCGUGAGAGUUCGAGUCUCUCCUUUCGCACCA